UAGGGAAUCUUCCACAAUGGACGCAAGUCUGAUGGAGCAACGCCGCGUGAGUGAAGAAGGCUUUCGGGUCGUAAAACUCUGUUAUUGAAGAAGAACGUGUGUGACAGUAACUGGUCAUGCAGUGACGGUAUUCAAUCAGAAAGUCACGGCUAACUACGUGCCAGCAGCCGCGGUAAUACGUAGGUGGCAAGCGUUGUCCGGAUUUAUUGGGCGUAAAGCGAGUGCAGGCGGUCUUUUAAGUCUGAUGUGAAAGCCUUCGGCUUAACC
This 267-nucleotide ribosomal RNA is filed under the name uncultured bacterium. RNAcentral describes it as "partial 16S ribosomal RNA". It matches the Rfam family "Bacterial small subunit ribosomal RNA", at positions 355 to 614 of the family's 1533-position model. The record is from RNAcentral.